Molecule: ribosomal RNA, 425 nt
Filed under: uncultured bacterium
Lineage: Bacteria
Description: bacterial SSU rRNA
Rfam family: Bacterial small subunit ribosomal RNA
Source: RNAcentral
GAGUUUGAUCCUGGCUCAGGAUGAACGCUGGCGGCGUGCUUAACACAUGCAAGUCGAACGGGGUUAUCAUUUUUGAAGCGAUUAGCUUGCUAAGAGUGGAAAAGUUGAUAACUUAGUGGCGGACGGGUGAGUAACGCGUGGGUAACCUGCCUUACACAGGGGGAUAACACUUAGAAAUAGGUGCUAAUACCGCAUAAGCGCACAGUCCCGCAUGGGACAGAGUGAAAAACAUUAGUGGUGUAAGAUGGACCCGCGUCUGAUUAGCUUGUUGGCGGGGUAACGGCCCACCAAGGCGACGAUCAGUAGCCGGCCUGAGAGGGUGGACGGCCACAUUGGGACUGAGACACGGCCCAAACUCCUACGGGAGGCAGCAGUGGGGGAUAGUGGACAAUGGGGGAAACCCUGAUCCAGCGACGCCGCGUGAG